UGUUUCGGCUAGGGGGUCAUCCCGACUUACCAACCCGAUGCAAACUGCGAAUACCGGAGAAUGUUAUCACGGGAGACACACGGCGGGUGCUAACGUUCGUCGUGAAGAGGGAAACAACCCAGACCGCCGGCUAAGGUCCCAAAGUCAUAAUUAAGUGGGAAACGAAGUGGGAAGGCUCAGACAGCCAGGAUGUUGGCUUAGAAGCAGCCAUCAUUUAAAGAAAGCGUAAUAGCUCACUGGUCGAGUCGGCCUGCGCGGAAGAUGUAACGGGGCUAAAUUAUGCACCGAAGCCGCGGCAGCGAUAUGUAAAUAUUGUUGGGUAGGGGAGCGUUCUGUAAGCCUGUGAAGGUGACCUGUGAGGGUUGCUGGAGGUAUCAGAAGUGCGAAUGCUGACAUAAGUAACGAUAAUGCGGGUGAAAAACCCGCACGCCGGAAGACCAAGGGUUCCUGUCCAACGUUAAUCGGGGCAGGGUGAGUCGACCCCUAAGGCGAGGCUGAAAAGCGUAGUCGAUGGGCAACGGGUUAAUAUUCCCGUACUGGUGGUAACUGCGAAGGGGGGACGGAGAAAGCUAAAUCAUCCGGGCGACGGUUGUCCCGGUUUAAGCGUGCAGGUGGACUG
RNAcentral lists this ribosomal RNA (619 nucleotides) under Vibrio vulnificus. Its description in RNAcentral is "partial 23S ribosomal RNA". It matches the Rfam family "Bacterial large subunit ribosomal RNA", at positions 911 to 1531 of the family's 2925-position model. The record is from RNAcentral. Lineage: Bacteria; Pseudomonadati; Pseudomonadota; Gammaproteobacteria; Vibrionales; Vibrionaceae.